RNAcentral lists this ribosomal RNA (279 nucleotides) under uncultured eukaryote. RNAcentral describes it as "partial 18S ribosomal RNA". It matches the Rfam family "Eukaryotic small subunit ribosomal RNA", at positions 6 to 283 of the family's 1831-position model. The record is from RNAcentral.
GGUUGAUCCUGCCAGUAGUCAUACGCUCAUCUCAAAGAUUAAGCCAUGCAUGUCUAAGUACAAGCACUUGUACUGUGAAACUGCGAAUGGCUCAUUAUACCAGUUAUAGUUUAUUUGAUAGAUUUCUACUACUUGGAUAACCGUAGUAAUUCUAGAGCUAAUACAUGCAACAAUGCCCAACUUUUCGGACGGGCAGUAUUUAUUAGAUCGAAACCAAUGCGGGGUUCGCCCCGGUGUUGUGGUGAGUCAUGAUAACUAAGCGAAUCGCAGUGAUUUAAG